Molecule: long non-coding RNA, 1669 nt
Filed under: Glycine max (soybean)
Lineage: Eukaryota; Viridiplantae; Streptophyta; Magnoliopsida; Fabales; Fabaceae
Description: long non-coding RNA (GMAX_LNC004497)
Source: RNAcentral
UUUCUUGUUUAUAUCUUUAUCAUUAGGUGUCGAGAAACAUUUUUGAAAGAAAAAGAAAGUGAAGCUAUGUAUUAAUAAUACAAAGAAUGGAGACUGAAGAGGUUGAGGAAUAUCAUGCUUUGGAUGCCUACCCUUUUCUUAGUAGAGAUCAAGAGCUCUUUACUUGCGUAUCAUCCAUUUGCUUGUUUUGGUUCUGACUAACACAUGCACAACUGACCACACUUUGUUGUUUUAUUCACCAAACCACUUCUUCACUCACAACUCUCACAAACGGACACAACAUAAGAGACAAGGAGAUGUUGGACUCUACACUCUUCAACACAAUAGAAACCCAUCUCCUCCCAUGCAUCACACUACACACUACCACACGCCAUCUCAGAACACAUAAAGAUCCUAUGCACGUCUGAAAUCACAUUUUGGCAGAUAAACCUAUUUCACUCCUUUGUCAUAUUGUUUUACAAUCCCUCUCUUCAUCAGACAUUUAUAACACUUACAAGGAGAUACUUCGAGUUGUCACAGCUUAAUGCACAUGAGAGAAAAGUGUUAUACAAAGAUGGGUCAUAAUAUAUGAGGAAUACUCAUGGUGAUGGAGUAACUCCUGGUUCUUGAAGGAACACGACGUAAAGAUGGAAUAAUUGACUGGCGGCAGUAGAAGGAAACUGUUCAGGGUAUGUGUCUAUGAUUGUAUUAUAUGCGUAUAAGAGACUUCGGCUUGAAUGAUUUUGCAUUUACUUAACUUUUUGCUUAAUUAUUUGGAUUUUACAUCUUCUUAAUUACUGUUAUUAAGUUUUGUAUGGGAUUUGUUGGUCCUAUAUUUAGAUGCAUUUGCUUCCAUGCAUAUUCAGUUCCUGUAGACGGUCUUUAAAGCAAUGCUUCCAUAUUCGGUUCCUAUACAUGAUUUUUAUCAAUCUAUCGAACUUUAUUGAGUUGAGUACUUUUCCUUACAAAACUCUUCAAUAUAAUAUCAUUUGUUUAUCAAAGAAAUGAGAUUAUUGUUUUAUGUUCAGUACGUGUUGUUCAAGUUUUCUAUUACUUCAAAUAAAUUCUGUAAGUAUAAAAAGAAAAAAUCAUUAUUUUCAACAUAUUCAACAAGUUCAAGGUGGAAGAUAUUUGUAAUUUCAUUCUUGUAAUUUUACAUUUUGGUCCUAUUGUCUAUUUUCUCAUCAUGUGUUUGACCUUUAGUUCACAUCCCCACCUUUCUUGUUUUUGUUGUAGGUUCUCUUCAGCUACUACUUCCUUAAAUUCAUUCAAUCAUUCAUUCAAGAGCAGUAUAAGAAGUCAGUUAACCUCUUGCUCAAACUCUCCAAUGUGUGGAGACCUAAAAAUGAAAAAGUGGAUCAACUUAGAUGGUAGAAAAUCUUCACUAAUGUAAUUGAAGCAAUUCAAAGUUGCAAAUCUCUUUGUUAAUGUUUAUUCAAUAGAUACAGUGAUAGAAUCAUAAUAUAUUUAUGUUUUGAAAAUAUGGGACACACUGCCUCCAGAGAAUAUCUCAAACUUCGUGAAAGGUCUUGGUAGUAUAUUUGGGAGGUAGACUGAUGAAUUUAUAAGUUUCUGCAAUGAGAAAUUGCUCAAGAUUUUAGCAUUGAGGCUAACUAGCUAGAAGAUUUUCUUAUUGUUUCCCUGUAAUUUAAUUGUAAGACUCUUAGCACACUUUUCCUUUUAAAAAAAC